This is a non-coding RNA of Acanthosepion pharaonis, 86 nucleotides long. The record is from the annotation of a GenBank genome assembly. Lineage: Eukaryota; Metazoa; Mollusca; Cephalopoda; Sepiida; Sepiidae.
UUCCCGUUCGAUCAUCUAAGUUAAGCAACGUCGAGCCUGGUCAGUACCAAGGUGGAUAACUGUUUGGGAAUACCAGGUGCUGUAAG